AUCCAACUGACGAGUCCCAAAUAGGACGAGACGCUCGUCCUGGUU
Molecule: non-coding RNA, 45 nt
Filed under: Schistosoma mansoni
Lineage: Eukaryota; Metazoa; Platyhelminthes; Trematoda; Strigeidida; Schistosomatidae
Source: RNAcentral